Molecule: non-coding RNA, 27 nt
Filed under: Bombyx mori (domestic silkworm)
Lineage: Eukaryota; Metazoa; Arthropoda; Insecta; Lepidoptera; Bombycidae
Source: RNAcentral
UCUGAGUGCGAAUUGAUUGAUGUUUUC